RNAcentral lists this long non-coding RNA (941 nucleotides) under Homo sapiens (human). RNAcentral describes it as "HSALNT0243828". Lineage: Eukaryota; Metazoa; Chordata; Mammalia; Primates; Hominidae. The record is from RNAcentral.
UUUUUUUUUUUUUUGAGAUGGAGUCUUGCUGUGUCGCCCAGGCUGGAGUGCAGUGGUGCGAUCUCAGCUCACUGCAACCUCUGCCUCCUAGGUUCAAGCGAUUCUCCCGCCUCAGCCUCCCGAGUAACUGGGACUACAGGGCAAGGCCAUUGGGAUAUUCUGAAACUUGAAUAUUUUGUUUUGUGCAGAGAUAAAGACCUUUUCCAUGCACCCUCAUACACAGAAACCAAUUUUCUUUUUUAUACUCAAUCAUUUCUAGCGCAUGGCCUGGUUAGAGGCUGGUUUUUUCUCUUUUCCUUUGGUCCUUCAAAGGCUUGUAGUUUUGGCUAGUCCUUGUUCUUUGGAAAUACACAGUGCUGACCAGACAGCCUCCCCCUGUCCCCUCUAUGACCUCGCCCUCCACAAAUGGGAAAACCAGACUACUUGGGAGCACCGCCUGUGAAAUACCAACCUGAAGACACCGUUCAUUCAGGCAACGCACAAAACAGAAAAUGAAGGUGGAACAAGCACAGAUGUUCUUCAACUGUUUUUGUCUACACUCUUUCUCUUUUCCUCUACCAUGCUGAAGGCUGAAAGACAGGAAGAUGGUGCCAUCAGCAAAUAUUAUUCUUAAUUGAAAACUUGAAAUGUGUAUGUUUCUUACUAAUUUUUAAAAAUGUAUUCCUUGCCAGGGCAGGCAAGGUGGCUCACGCCUGUAAUCCCAGCACUUCAGGAGGCUGAGGUGGGCGGAUCACCUGAGGUCAGGAGUUUGAGACCAGCCUGAUGAAACCCUGUCUCUACUAAAAAUACAAGAAUUAGCCGGGCGUGGUGGCGCAUGCCUGUAGUAUCAGCUACUCAAGAGGCUGAGGUGAGAUUAUCGCUUGAACCCAGGAAACGGAGGUUGUAGUGAGCGGAGAUCGCGCCACUGCACUCCAGCCUGAGUGACAGAGUGAGAAUCCAUC